RNAcentral lists this long non-coding RNA (206 nucleotides) under Helianthus annuus (common sunflower). Its description in RNAcentral is "sRNA HanXRQr2_Chr13g0578521". The record is from RNAcentral. Lineage: Eukaryota; Viridiplantae; Streptophyta; Magnoliopsida; Asterales; Asteraceae.
GUUCUUGAAAAGUGGUGAGAUCGGCUGAGAAGUAGACCUCAUCGGAUGAAGAGAUUCCGCUGGCUCCGACAAUCGCCGUCGUAGAUAUCGAUGAUCUCGCCGGUGAUGAUGUGUUUAAAUACUUGAAUAUGUGUUUGUGGAUGUUGCAAUUUCGACCCCUUGAAAAUGUAGUUUCUUACUUUAGAUGUGAUUAGAAGGUUGUUUGU